RNAcentral lists this ribosomal RNA (228 nucleotides) under uncultured bacterium. RNAcentral describes it as "partial 16S ribosomal RNA". It matches the Rfam family "Bacterial small subunit ribosomal RNA", at positions 15 to 190 of the family's 1533-position model. The record is from RNAcentral.
GAUCAUGGCUCAGGAUAAACGCUGGCGGCGCACAUAAGACAUGCAAGUCGAACGGAAGUCGUUGUAAUGAUAUAGACAUGGACUGAGAACUUGUUCAAAGAAAGUGAAAGUUGACUUACAACAAUGGCUUUAGUGGCGGACUGGUGAGUAACACGUAAGCAACCUGCCUAUCAGAGGGGAACAACAGUUAGAAAUGACUGCUAAUACCGCAUAUGCCUUAGCAACACA